UUCUUCAACAGAUAGAUACUCUUCAAAAAGGGAGUGGACAAUUCCACGGGCAUGACUCUCUCUUCCACCCUCGUAAGACUUGACAACACUCAAUAAAGGUUCAAGUAAUCUUUCUUGAGCUCCUCUUUCUUUAUCAGAGCAGGACCUUAAGUGUGCCUGGACUUGACAACACUCAAUAAAGGUUCAACUAAUCUUUCUUGAGCUCCUCUUUCUUUAUCAGAGCAGGACCUUAAGUGUGCCUGUACCAAGAUAGAGAUAAAACACGUAUAAAUGAAUACUAGUAUCUAGAUAAAUAAAGAAGAAC
Molecule: long non-coding RNA, 304 nt
Filed under: Nicotiana benthamiana
Lineage: Eukaryota; Viridiplantae; Streptophyta; Magnoliopsida; Solanales; Solanaceae
Description: long non-coding RNA (NBEN_LNC021759)
Source: RNAcentral